RNAcentral lists this ribosomal RNA (354 nucleotides) under uncultured bacterium. RNAcentral's name for it is "bacterial SSU rRNA". It matches the Rfam family "Bacterial small subunit ribosomal RNA", at positions 1 to 334 of the family's 1533-position model. The record is from RNAcentral.
ACACGUGAUUCAGAGUUUGAUCCUGGCUCAGGAUAAACGCUGGCGGCGUGCAUAACACAUGCAAGUCGAACGAUGAAGCUUAAAUGAUCUCUUCGGAGUGACCUUAAGUGGAUUAGUGGCGGACGGGUGAGUAACGCGUGAGUAACCUGCCUUGCACAAGGGGAUAGCCGUUGGAAACGACGAAUAAUACCCUAUGAUAUGAUAGUCUCGCAUGAGAUUAUCAUCAAAGAUUUAUCGGUGUAAGAUGGACUCGCGUCUGAUUAGCUAGUUGGUGGGGUAACUGAUCACCAAGGCAACGAUCAGUAGCCGGCUUGAGAGAGUGUACGGCCACAUUGGGACUGAGACACGGCCCAG